Dermacentor andersoni is the source of this 1590-nucleotide non-coding RNA. The record is from RefSeq and is a predicted model, not a curated record. NCBI's taxonomy places the organism in Eukaryota, Metazoa, Arthropoda, Arachnida, Ixodida, Ixodidae.
UUUGUUCUGUCCUAGACUGCGGCAGCGCUGCUAUCUUGUUUCUUUGCCUUGCAACCACCCUGUAACGGCCUUUGGCCAACAGUAUUGUUAAAUAAAUGAUAAAUAAAAUUGCAGUGACUCGUAAAAAUGUCCGGUAGUAUUAAAUAACAAUACGUUGCCGGGAUUUUAAGAAAGCUGGAAUGGAUAUUGUCAAGCACAAUAAGAUAUUUUAGCUUUGCUCUCAAGCUAGUAGUACCAACAGCACACACAACAGGGCUCAUAGGAAAGUAAUCAGCAAAAGCAAUGUGAGGCGUAACAUUGGGGGAUGAAGGAAAGAAUGAACGGAUACAUCAACACUUCGCAGCUCCAUUGAGAGAUACGGAAACAACAUUUUCAUGAUACAGUUCAAUUGCAGGCGACUUUUUGUCGCUGGCUAUAUUCAAAUAUUCUCGCCAGAAAAAAAAAAAAAUAUUCUGAAGUGUUACUUGCUGAAACCACGAUCUCAGUAGGAGCCACGCCGUAGUGUGCCUCGUAGAGUGCUUUCGAUUAAUUGUGACCGCCUGAGGUUCUUUAAUGUACCCCCAGUAUGGACAAGAACGGCACCGAGAGCGGCGCUGCUGCGCCGGCGUUGAGAGUGCCGCACGCGAAGCAAAAUUAUAUUAGCGGGUGGUACCCCUCUCCCAUCUCUCGUUCGCACCGCCGUGAUUGCCUCCUGCACUGCGCGUGUUUGGGCACGUCAGGCCCCGCACACUCUCAAGUUCAACAAAUGGCCACAGAGGGCGAAAAAAUCGACCGCGCGCUGCUGCUAAUAAAACUAGCAUAGUAAUAUCACUUCGGGAUGCUUACGUUAGUUUGAACAUUUUCCGCUGGAGGCGCCGUAAUAAGCGCAAUUUUUUUUUUUUUUGCAAACUUUCGCCUACAAUUACCGAAGCACGUUUAUUACAUGAAAAAGAGGGCGAAAUUAUCAUUGCUAAUUUGAUAUUGUAUUCUUUGUAAGUAAGUUUAUUGUUUCUUUGUCAUUAUAAACGCAAAUAGCGUUCAGCAUCAUCGAUCUUUCACGUGACCUCUGGCCUGGAUUUAAAAUUUUUACCGGUAUUUUCGAGUGCAUGGCGGCACGGAUUCAUUCGUUCGUGCGCUCAGGCUGGUUGCUUCUUUUUCGCUAAAACUAGUUUAUUGCGCUUCGAUGUCACGCGUUAUUUAACCUGGGGUGAAGUGACGUGUUUGCAAGCGGACAUGCAAGCCCGAAAGUUGGGUAUCGGUCGUGAGCCAUUCGGAACACGUCUGCAUCGAAACGGGAGCUGGAUUCUGGUGCGGCUGACAACGGCAAUAACGACAUGCAGUAAUGAGGAUGGCACCAGUAUAAAGCAACACACUCCACACACUAAACAGAAGCUGCUGCCUGCUACAACAAGGCCAUUGUGUGGACAUUGGCUGCUACUACAAGAGUCCAUGCCAAGCAUACCUUGGUCAUCACAGGAGCUCCUAUCCACACCAACAGAAAGGGGCUGGAGCUGAAUUUGCAAGGCUUUUACACCACGAACAAAGAAGCACAUGCAGAAGAAUUUACAUGAGAUAUCAAGUCUGCAGAGCACUGUGUCAAGACUGAAAAGA